This 363-nucleotide unclassified non-coding RNA is filed under the name fungal sp. Its description in RNAcentral is "partial internal transcribed spacer region". The stretch from base 1 to 46 matches the Rfam family "Eukaryotic small subunit ribosomal RNA", at positions 1786 to 1831 of the family's 1831-position model. Lineage: Eukaryota; Fungi. The record is from RNAcentral.
AAGUCGUAACAAGGUUUCCGUAGGUGAACCUGCGGAAGGAUCAUUAACACGUAUCCAACGUUAAACAACCCUGUGAACUUUCAACCGCUCUUGUAGCCCACGCGGAACAGCAAUCCCGGUAAAUCAAUGGAUGUCUGCCGGCCGGUGAUCGACCUCUGGCAACCGUGAGGCGUUAUCCUUACUCAGUGGAUCCUUCUGCACUGCUUAGGGAAACCAUGCCACUGCUCGAUUGUAGCCUGAUGGACAGAGGUCCCGAAUGUCACAGGGCUAUAUGCCCCCUCAUUCACACCUUGCCCUAUCUGGCCCCACGGAAACGUUGGGGCACAAACCGAACAACUGUUAACAAUGGAUAUCUUGGUUCUC